This 95-nucleotide transfer RNA is filed under the name Bacillota bacterium. RNAcentral describes it as "Firmicutes bacterium (anaerobic digester metagenome) tRNA-Sec". It matches the Rfam family "Selenocysteine transfer RNA". Lineage: Bacteria; Bacillati; Bacillota. The record is from RNAcentral.
GGGGGUGGAUUGGGCCUGGUGGCCCGCCCGGACUUCAAAUCCGGCGGCGGGCAUGGACUGUCCGCGGUGGGUUCGAUUCCCACACACUCCCGCCA